Molecule: ribosomal RNA, 253 nt
Filed under: uncultured bacterium
Lineage: Bacteria
Description: partial 16S ribosomal RNA
Rfam family: Bacterial small subunit ribosomal RNA
Source: RNAcentral
UACGUAGGGGGCAAGCGUUGUCCGGAAUCAUUGGGCGUAAAGAGCGUGUAGGCGGCCCGGUAAGUCCGCUGUGAAAGUCGGGGGCUCAACCCUCGAAUGCCGGUGGAUACUGUCGGGCUAGAGUGCGGAAGAGGCGAGUGGAAUUCCUGGUGUAGCGGUGAAAUGCGCAGAUAUCAGGAGGAACAUCAGUUGCGAAGGCGGCUCUCUGGACCAGCACUGACACUGAGGCACGAAAGCGUGGGGAGCAAACAGG